CAACAGAGGCUGCAGCUGCGC
Molecule: unclassified non-coding RNA, 21 nt
Filed under: Chlamydomonas reinhardtii
Lineage: Eukaryota; Viridiplantae; Chlorophyta; Chlorophyceae; Chlamydomonadales; Chlamydomonadaceae
Description: small RNA Cre_0838
Source: RNAcentral